UAAAACCAAACUCAGUCAGUCAGUCAUACAGAGUACUUUCGUUAUCACCUACAUUAAAAUCCCGAGAUUUGUGAUCGCAAUACACAUACAAACUUCGCAGAUACUUAGAACUUCCCCGGGAAAUAAUACACAGUUUUUCAGUGGGAAUGCACCAGCCAUGUUCAUAAUGGUUAUCGGUGGUUUCUGAGUCAACGAAUAUAUUUGUACAUAAAGAUCCAUGGUUUAUUAGUCUAGCUGAAUGUGUGAUUUUCCUCGUGUUCUUCCUCCACAAAAAGUAUCCUUUAUUUGAAGCAUUUAAAACAUGUAGAGUGAUAUGAAGGAAUGGAAGUUAUAUUUAUUUCACAGGUAUAUGGUCCAAUACGAUGGGGAUAUAAGGGAUUUGCUGGCUGAGGCAUAAAGUCAUAUUAACUCUAACACUGUUCUUUACUAGAGUCCGUCGUUCUUAAACACAUUGUAAUAAAACUACGCUAUAUGUUGAAGAGGUGCUAGUAAAUAAUAUUUAUCAAAAAAUGUAAAAUGAGGCAUAAAACAAUAUUACCUCUAUCUCUCACACAUCGAAAUCAUAGAAAAGAAUUAUUUGAUGAGGUGAUUGUAAAUAAUACCAUUUGUUAAUAAUAUAACUAUGCGAUGACGAAUAAAAAAAUAACUCAAUAUCUCACACAUCGCAAUAAAAGUACGGAAUUUGAUUGAAGAGGGGCUAGUAAAAAAUACGAUUAUAUAAAUUGUACACUUGUACGCUUAAAAUGAUAUUGAUUCGGUCUCUAACCCA
Haliotis rubra (blacklip abalone) is the source of this 769-nucleotide long non-coding RNA. RefSeq lists it as uncharacterized. The record is from RefSeq and is a predicted model, not a curated record. The transcript is spliced from 3 exons. Lineage: Eukaryota; Metazoa; Mollusca; Gastropoda; Lepetellida; Haliotidae.